AAAACCCAACAGAUGCCUAUGAGAAAAAAGGCCACUCUCAACGUCUCUCUUGACUCUCUCAUUAAGAGAUCCCUCUCUCUGAAAACAAAAGGAUAUAAAAAAUAAAAUGGAACGACCUUUCCUCUUCUUCACUCGUCAAACCCUAAUCCGCCGCCACCCUUCAUCUUCUUUACUUCAUCAUCUUCCUCACGAAACCCUCAAUCUUCU
Molecule: long non-coding RNA, 207 nt
Filed under: Lathyrus oleraceus (garden pea)
Lineage: Eukaryota; Viridiplantae; Streptophyta; Magnoliopsida; Fabales; Fabaceae
Description: Pisum sativum (pea) long non-coding RNA (PSAT_LNC023359)
Source: RNAcentral